This 353-nucleotide transfer-messenger RNA is filed under the name Melioribacteraceae. Its description in RNAcentral is "DSXH01 sp016177735 Standard tmRNA". It matches the Rfam family "transfer-messenger RNA". Rfam says of the family: Bacterial tmRNA, also known as 10Sa RNA or SsrA, is named for its dual tRNA and mRNA-like properties. RNAcentral also lists the same sequence under 1 other name. The record is from RNAcentral. Lineage: Bacteria; Pseudomonadati; Ignavibacteriota; Ignavibacteria; Ignavibacteriales.
GGGGGUGACUUUGGCUUCGACGGGAUUAUUGGUUCUUUGAACUGCGCACCGUGUUCGCCGUAGACACGUUAAACGACGGUAAAAAAAAUAAAUGGCGAAUAUAAUUACGCUCUCGCUGCGUAAAUAAACGCAGCCGUUCUUCAAUUCUACUCACGCUGGGGAUUGAAAGAACGCCGCACAGUGUGAUAGCUGAAUCGAGAGUCUGUGUAGAUGAAGCGAAACUUUUAACAGAAUAGUCCUAUUAAAAUCUGUUUGCCGAUGUUAAUGGGAUGAAAUUAAAAGACAGACUAUGUGUGUAGACGUUCAUAGAAAAGUAAUUUCGGACCGGGGUUCGACUCCCCGCACCUCCACUA